CCACGCCGCGUGAGUGAUGAAGGUUUUCGGAUCGUAAAGCUCUGUUGUUAGGGAAGACAAGUGCGAGAGUAACUGCUCGCACCUUGACGGUACCUAACCAGAAAGCCACGGCUAACUACGUGCCAGCAGCCGCGGUAAUACGUAGGUGGCAAGCGUUGUCCGGAAUUAUUGGGCGUAAAGGGCUCGCAGGCGGUUUCUUAAGUCUGAUGUGAAAGCCCCCGGCUCAACCGGGGAGGGUCAUUGGAAACUGGGAAACUUGAGUGCAGAAGAGGAGAGUGGAAUUCCACGUGUAGCGGUGAAAUGCGUAGAGAUGUGGAGGAACACCAGUGGCGAAGGCGACUCUCUGGUCUGUAACUGACGCUGAGGAGCGAAAGCGUGGGGAGCGAACAGGAUUAGAUACCCCGGUAGAAAG
This 412-nucleotide ribosomal RNA is filed under the name Bacillus sp. (in: firmicutes). RNAcentral describes it as "bacterial SSU rRNA". It matches the Rfam family "Bacterial small subunit ribosomal RNA", at positions 392 to 797 of the family's 1533-position model. Lineage: Bacteria; Bacillati; Bacillota; Bacilli; Caryophanales; Bacillaceae. The record is from RNAcentral.